UAGCAGUCUGACCUGGGGCAACUUGUUAGUUGUCCGCUUCUCUUGCCUUGUCUGAGUUUUCAAAGCAACAUCUAAAGGCAUGAUAUCUGCACAGCCGGUAGCACCUCCAGGAGGGCAGAGGAGAACUGAUCCUCACAGGCUGUCUUUUCCAUGCUCCUACGUGUUCUGUGUGUGACCAGUGGGAGGCAUAGACUAC
Long non-coding RNA from Balaenoptera ricei (Rice's whale), 196 nucleotides. RefSeq lists it as uncharacterized. NCBI's taxonomy places the organism in Eukaryota, Metazoa, Chordata, Mammalia, Artiodactyla, Balaenopteridae. The record is from RefSeq and is a predicted model, not a curated record. The transcript has 3 exons.